Molecule: non-coding RNA, 104 nt
Organism: Fusarium venenatum
Lineage: Eukaryota; Fungi; Ascomycota; Sordariomycetes; Hypocreales; Nectriaceae
Source: the annotation of a RefSeq genome assembly
GGGCAACUGAUCUAGUGGUAUGACAUCAGCUCUUGUUGUACGGGCGUCGUUAGGGCCCCGUGAAAAUAAGUUGAAGAUUCGAGGUUCAAAUCCUUGGUCGCCCA